Molecule: transfer RNA, 69 nt
Filed under: Leiothrix lutea (red-billed leiothrix)
Lineage: Eukaryota; Metazoa; Chordata; Aves; Passeriformes; Leiothrichidae
Description: tRNA-Val
Source: RNAcentral
CAAGACGUAGCUUAAACAAAGCAUUCAGCUUACACCUGAAAGAUAUCUGCUUACAACAGAUCGUCUUGA